Molecule: ribosomal RNA, 224 nt
Filed under: uncultured bacterium
Lineage: Bacteria
Description: partial 16S ribosomal RNA
Rfam family: Bacterial small subunit ribosomal RNA
Source: RNAcentral
GAUCAUGGCUCAGGAUGAACGCUGGCGGCGUGCCUAACACAUGCAAGUCGAGCGAAGCGAUCGAGAUGAAGUUUUCGGAUGGAUUCCUGAUUGACUGAGCGGGCGGACGGGUGAGGUAACGCGUGGGUAACCUGCCUCAUACAGGGGGAUAACAGUUAGAAAUGACUGCUAAUACCGCAUAAGACCACAGCACCGCAUGGUGCAGGGGUAAAAACUCCGGUGGU